Molecule: ribosomal RNA, 300 nt
Filed under: uncultured bacterium
Lineage: Bacteria
Description: bacterial SSU rRNA
Rfam family: Bacterial small subunit ribosomal RNA
Source: RNAcentral
GUCCCGCAACGAGCGCAACCCCUACUGUUAGUUGCCAGCAUGUUAUGAUGGGGACUCUAACAGGACUGCCUGCGCAAGCAGAGAGGAAGGAGGGGACGACGUCAAGUCAUCAUGGCCCUUACGCCCAGGGCUACACACGUGCUACAAUGGGAGAUACAAAGGGUAGCUACACGGUAACGUGAUGCCAAUCUCAAAAAGUCUUUCUCAGUUCGGAUCGUGGUCUGCAACUCGACCACGUGAAGGUGGAAUCGCUAGUAAUCGCGCAUCAGCAAUGGCGCGGUGAAUACGUUCCCGGACCUU